Molecule: ribosomal RNA, 1518 nt
Filed under: Clostridium botulinum
Lineage: Bacteria; Bacillati; Bacillota; Clostridia; Eubacteriales; Clostridiaceae
Description: bacterial SSU rRNA
Rfam family: Bacterial small subunit ribosomal RNA
Source: RNAcentral
UUUUAAAUUUAGAGUUUGAUCCUGGCUCAGGACGAACGCUGGCGGCGUGCUUAACACAUGCAAGUCGAGCGAUGAAGCUUCCUUCGGGAAGUGGAUUAGCGGCGGACGGGUGAGUAACACGUGGGUAACCUGCCUCAAAGUGGGGGAUAGCCUUCCGAAAGGAAGAUUAAUACCGCAUAAUAUGAGAGAAUCGCAUGAUUUUCUUAUCAAAGAUUUAUUGCUUUGAGAUGGACCCGCGGCGCAUUAGCUAGUUGGUAAGGUAACGGCUUACCAAGGCAACGAUGCGUAGCCGACCUGAGAGGGUGAUCGGCCACAUUGGAACUGAGACACGGUCCAGACUCCUACGGGAGGCAGCAGUGGGGAAUAUUGCGCAAUGGGGGAAACCCUGACGCAGCAACGCCGCGUGGGUGAUGAAGGUCUUCGGAUUGUAAAGCCCUGUUUUCUAGGACGAUAAUGACGGUACUAGAGGAGGAAGCCACGGCUAACUACGUGCCAGCAGCCGCGGUAAUACGUAGGUGGCGAGCGUUGUCCGGAUUUACUGGGCGUAAAGGGUGCGUAGGCGGAUGUUUAAGUGGGAUGUGAAAUCCCCGGGCUUAACCUGGGGGCUGCAUUCCAAACUGGAUAUCUAGAGUGCAGGAGAGGAAAGCGGAAUUCCUAGUGUAGCGGUGAAAUGCGUAGAGAUUAGGAAGAACACCAGUGGCGAAGGCGGCUUUCUGGACUGUAACUGACGCUGAGGCACGAAAGCGUGGGUAGCAAACAGGAUUAGAUACCCUGGUAGUCCACGCCGUAAACGAUGGAUACUAGGUGUAGGGGGUAUCAACUCCCCCUGUGCCGCAGUUAACACAAUAAGUAUCCCGCCUGGGGAGUACGGUCGCAAGAUUAAAACUCAAAGGAAUUGACGGGGGCCCGCACAAGCAGCGGAGCAUGUGGUUUAAUUCGAAGCAACGCGAAGAACCUUACCUGGACUUGACAUCCCUUGCAUAGCCUAGAGAUAGGUGAAGCCCUUCGGGGCAAGGAGACAGGUGGUGCAUGGUUGUCGUCAGCUCGUGUCGUGAGAUGUUAGGUUAAGUCCUGCAACGAGCGCAACCCUUGUUAUUAGUUGCUACCAUUAAGUUGAGCACUCUAAUGAGACUGCCUGGGUAACCAGGAGGAAGGUGGGGAUGACGUCAAAUCAUCAUGCCCCUUAUGUCCAGGGCUACACACGUGCUACAAUGGUAGGUACAAUAAGACGCAAGACCGUGAGGUGGAGCAAAACUUAUAAAACCUAUCUCAGUUCGGAUUGUAGGCUGCAACUCGCCUACAUGAAGCUGGAGUUGCUAGUAAUCGCGAAUCAGAAUGUCGCGGUGAAUACGUUCCCGGGCCUUGUACACACCGCCCGUCACACCAUGAGAGCUGGUAACACCCGAAGUCCGUGAGGUAACCGUAAGGAACCAGCGGCCGAAGGUGGGAUUAGUGAUUGGGGUGAAGUCGUAACAAGGUAGCCGUAGGAGAACCUGCGGCUGGAUCACCUCCUUUCUA